UGAGGUAGUAGGUUGUGUGGUUUCAGGGCAGAGAUUUGUGCCCCAAUCAGGAGAUAACUAUACAACCUACUGCCUUCC
Molecule: microRNA precursor, 78 nt
Filed under: Xenopus laevis (African clawed frog)
Lineage: Eukaryota; Metazoa; Chordata; Amphibia; Anura; Pipidae
Description: Xla-Let-7-P2b2c_pre stem-loop
Rfam family: let-7 microRNA precursor family
About the family: This family represents the microRNAs (miRNA) let-7 and mir-98. let-7 was identified from a study of developmental timing in C. elegans, and was later shown to be part of a much larger class of non-coding RNAs termed miRNAs.
Source: RNAcentral